This 200-nucleotide long non-coding RNA is filed under the name Elaeis guineensis (African oil palm). RNAcentral describes it as "long non-coding RNA (EGUI_LNC053278)". The record is from RNAcentral. Lineage: Eukaryota; Viridiplantae; Streptophyta; Magnoliopsida; Arecales; Arecaceae.
UGGCACCUUCCUUUUCUUUCUCAAAGGAUUGUUAUCCUACUGAAGACACAUCUUCAGAAAUGUAAAAGAGCUCUUUCAACUUUUGAAGAAUUUUCUCCCACUGAGCAUCAUCGAAUUUACAACUAAAUUGAUAAUUUUUUGAUGCUCUCAAAAAUAUCACACGGUGAUAUGAUCAUUUGGCCACUUCUAAUAAGUGCCUU